Molecule: transfer RNA, 75 nt
Filed under: Parafannyhessea umbonata
Lineage: Bacteria; Bacillati; Actinomycetota; Coriobacteriia; Coriobacteriales; Atopobiaceae
Also listed under: 1 other name
Rfam family: tRNA
About the family: Transfer RNA (tRNA) molecules are approximately 80 nucleotides in length. Their secondary structure includes four short double-helical elements and three loops (D, anti-codon, and T loops).
Source: RNAcentral
GCGGGCGUCGCCAAGUGGUAAGGCAAUGGCUUCCCAAGCCAUCAUCCGCGGGUUCGAGUCCCGUCGCCCGCUCCA